Molecule: ribosomal RNA, 297 nt
Filed under: uncultured eukaryote
Lineage: Eukaryota
Description: partial 18S ribosomal RNA
Rfam family: Eukaryotic small subunit ribosomal RNA
Source: RNAcentral
CCCUUAGACGCUCUAGGCGGCACGCGCGCUACAAUGGGUGGUAGAACGUGUAACUGCUCCCGAAAGGGGGGGUGAACCACGAAUACUUACCCGUGAAUGGGAUAGUUUGUUGCAAUUUUCGGACUUGAACUAGGAAUCCCUUGUAAGAAUGCUCAAGAAUAGCGUGCUGAAUACGUCCCUGCCGUUUGUACACACCGCCCGUCGUUUCUUCCGACUGAUACUCAUUGUGAGUUGCAAGGAUUCUUAUUGAAAAAUUGCUGCGAAUGCUUUGUAUUGGAGGAAGAAAAAGUCGUAACA